Molecule: ribosomal RNA, 394 nt
Filed under: uncultured bacterium
Lineage: Bacteria
Description: bacterial SSU rRNA
Rfam family: Bacterial small subunit ribosomal RNA
Source: RNAcentral
AUAUUGCACAAUGGGGGGAACCCUGAUGCAGCGACGCCGCGUGAGUGAAGGAGCGCCUCGGCGCGUAAAGCUCUAUCAGCAGGGAAGAAAAUGACGGUACCUGACUAAGAAGCCCCGGCUAACUACGUGCCAGCAGCCGCGGUAAUACGUAGGGGGCAAGCGUUAUCCGGAUUUACUGGGUGUAAAGGGAGCGUAGACGGCAUAGCAAGUCUGAAGUGAAAGGCAUGGGCUCAACCCGUGGACUGCUUUGGAAACUGUUAAGCUGGAGUGCAGGAGAGGUAAGUGGAAUUCCUAGUGUAGCGGUGAAAUGCGUAGAUAUUAGGAGGAACACCAGUGGCGAAGGCGGCUUACUGGACUGUAACUGACGUUGAGGCUCGAAAGCGUGGGGAGCAAA